This 480-nucleotide ribosomal RNA is filed under the name uncultured bacterium. Its description in RNAcentral is "bacterial SSU rRNA". It matches the Rfam family "Bacterial small subunit ribosomal RNA", at positions 28 to 507 of the family's 1533-position model. The record is from RNAcentral.
GACGAACGCUGGCGGCGUGCUUAACACAUGCAAGUCGAACGGAGUUACGUAUGAAGUAUUUCGGUACGGACUAUGUAACUUAGUGGCGAACGGGUGAGUAACACGUGGGCAACCUGCCCUUAACCGGGGGAUAACAUUGUGAAAACAGUGCUAAUACCGCAUAACAGAGUAUCGGGCAUUCGAUAUUUUUAAAAGGAGCAAUCCGGUUUAGGAUGGGCCCGCGUCCAAUUAGCUAGUUGGUGAGGUAACGGCUCACCAAGGCUACGAUUGGUAGCCGAACUGAGAGGUUGAUCGGCCACAUUGGGACUGAGACACGGCCCAGACUCCUACGGGAGGCAGCAGUGGGGAAUAUUGGGCAAUGGGCGAAAGCCUGACCCAGCGACGCCGCGUGAAGGAUGAAGGUCUUCGGAUUGUAAACUUCUUUGAUCAGGGAAGAAAGAAAUGACGGUACCUGAAGAACAAGCCACGGCUAACUACGUG